GAUGAACGCUGGCGGCGUGCCUAAUACAUGCAAGUCGAGCGAACAGAUAAGGAGCUUGCUCCUUUGACGUUAGCGGCGGACGGGUGAGUAACACGUGGGUAACCUACCUAUAAGACUGGAAUAACUCCGGGAAACCGGGGCUAAUGCCGGAUAACAUUUAGAACCGCAUGGUUCUAAAGUGAAAGAUGGUUUUGCUAUCACUUAUAGAUGGACCCGCGCCGUAUUAGCUAGUUGGUAAGGUAACGGCUUACCAAGGCAACGAUACGUAGCCGACCUGAGAGGGUGAUCGGCCACACUGGAACUGAGACACGGUCCAGACUCCUACGGGAGGCAGCAGUAGGGAAUCUUCCGCAAUGGGCGAAAGCCUGACGGAGCAACGCCGCGUGAGUGAUGAAGGUCUUCGGAUCGUAAAACUCUGUUAUUAGGGAAGAACAAAUGUGUAAGUAACCGUGCACGUCUUGACGGUACCUAAUCAGAAAGCCACGGCUAACUACGUG
Molecule: ribosomal RNA, 497 nt
Filed under: uncultured bacterium
Lineage: Bacteria
Description: partial 16S ribosomal RNA
Rfam family: Bacterial small subunit ribosomal RNA
Source: RNAcentral